This 584-nucleotide ribosomal RNA is filed under the name Lachnum sp. FC-2355. RNAcentral's name for it is "eukaryotic LSU rRNA". It matches the Rfam family "Eukaryotic large subunit ribosomal RNA", at positions 52 to 650 of the family's 3401-position model. Lineage: Eukaryota; Fungi; Ascomycota; Leotiomycetes; Helotiales; Lachnaceae. The record is from RNAcentral.
GGAGGAAAAGAAACCAACAGGGAUUACCUCAGUAACGGCGAGUGAAGCGGUAACAGCUCAAAUUUGAAAUCUGGCUCUUUUAGGGUCCGAGUUGUAAUUUGUAGAAGAUGCUUUGGGUGUGGCUCCAGUCUAAGUUCCUUGGAACAGGACGUCAUAGAGGGUGAGAAUCCCGUAUGUGAUUGGCCGCUUUCGCCCGUGUAAAGCUCUUUCGACGAGUCGAGUUGUUUGGGAAUGCAGCUCAAAAUGGGUGGUAAAUUUCAUCUAAAGCUAAAUAUUGGCCAGAGACCGAUAGCGCACAAGUAGAGUGAUCGAAAGAUGAAAAGCACUUUGGAAAGAGAGUUAAACAGUACGUGAAAUUGUUGAAAGGGAAGCGUUGGCAACCAGACUCGCAUGCCGCUAAUCAUCCGGGGUUCUCCCCGGUGCACUUGGUGGUUUUCGGGCCAGCAUCGGUUUCGGUGGUGGGAUAAAGGCCUUGGGAAUGUAGCUUCUCUCGGGGAGUGUUAUAGCCCUCGGCGCAAUGCCGCCUACCGGGACCGAGGACCGCGCUUCGGCUAGGAUGCUGGCGUAAUGGUUGUCAACGGCCC